This 497-nucleotide ribosomal RNA is filed under the name uncultured bacterium. Its description in RNAcentral is "partial 16S ribosomal RNA". It matches the Rfam family "Bacterial small subunit ribosomal RNA", at positions 28 to 507 of the family's 1533-position model. The record is from RNAcentral.
GACGAACGCUGGCGGCGUGCCUAAUACAUGCAAGUAGAACGCUGAAGAGAGGAGCUUGCUCUUCUUGGAUGAGUUGCGAACGGGUGAGUAACGCGUAGGUAACCUGCCUUGUAGCGGGGGAUAACUAUUGGAAACGAUAGCUAAUACCGCAUAACAAUGGAUGACACAUGUCAUUUAUUUGAAAGGGGCAAUUGCUCCACUACAAGAUGGACCUGCGUUGUAUUAGCUAGUAGGUGAGGUAAUGGCUCACCUAGGCGACGAUACAUAGCCGACCUGAGAGGGUGAUCGGCCACACUGGGACUGAGACACGGCCCAGACUCCUACGGGAGGCAGUAGUAGGGAAUCUUCGGCAAUGGGGGCAACCCUGACCGAGCAACGCCGCGUGAGUGAAGAAGGUUUUCGGAUCGUAAAGCUCUGUUGUAAGUCAAGAACGGGUGUGAGAGUGGAAAGUUCACACUGUGACGGUAGCUUACCAGAAAGGGACGGCUAACUACGUG